UCCCAGGACAUGCAACUAACUUUACGAAUUCGUCGGAACACGCAGUGUCAGCAGCGGACGAAUUCUUUCACUACCGCGUUCUGGAGAUCUCCCCAAACAUCGACGAACCAAAUGGCUUCGUGUGGCCUAUCGUGAAUACAACGCUCUUCGUCUGGACUUUUGUAUUUCUCUGUGUAUUCAGAGGUGUUAAAGUCGUCGGAAAGGUCGUGUGGUUCACCUCAUCCUUCCCGUUUCUCAUGCUGAUCAUCCUGUU
RNAcentral lists this long non-coding RNA (253 nucleotides) under Penaeus japonicus. Its description in RNAcentral is "uncharacterized LOC122248302". The record is from RNAcentral. Lineage: Eukaryota; Metazoa; Arthropoda; Malacostraca; Decapoda; Penaeidae.